RNAcentral lists this unclassified non-coding RNA (404 nucleotides) under soil metagenome. RNAcentral's name for it is "partial contains 5.8S ribosomal RNA, internal transcribed spacer 2, and large subunit ribosomal RNA". The stretch from base 1 to 120 matches the Rfam family "5.8S ribosomal RNA", at positions 35 to 154 of the family's 154-position model. The record is from RNAcentral.
GAUGAAGAACGUAGCGAAAUGCGAUAAGUAGUGUGAAUUGCAGAAUUCCGUGAAUCAUCGAAUCUUUGAACGCACAUUGCGCCUUUUGGUAUUCCGGAAGGCAUGCCUGUUCAAGAGUCAUUGACUUUACUUCUUUGAUCCCCUUUUAUUGUCAAAGGGCUUGGUUCUGGUGGAUGAGGAGAGGUGGGGUGAACAUUAAACCGAUCUCUCCUCACUACUGAAAUUGAGAGGCAGUCGGCCCCCAUGCGUUGAGGCGUUGUAAAAUCUGCUAAUGCAUGUUUUCGCUAGCAUCCGCAUGGAAGAUUGGCUUGCCAUCUAGUUUGAAAAACCCUCAAUCAAUCAAUGGUUGACCUCGGAUCAGGUAGGGAUACCCGCUGAACUUAAGCAUAUCAAUAAGCGGAGGA